RNAcentral lists this ribosomal RNA (462 nucleotides) under uncultured bacterium. RNAcentral's name for it is "bacterial SSU rRNA". It matches the Rfam family "Bacterial small subunit ribosomal RNA", at positions 331 to 792 of the family's 1533-position model. The record is from RNAcentral.
CCAGACUCCUACGGGAGGCAGCAGUGGGGAAUAUUGCACAAUGGGGGAAACCCUGAUGCAGCGACGCCGCGUGAGUGAAGAAGUAUUUCGGUAUGUAAAGCUCUAUCAGCAGGGAAGAAAUAGCGACCUUUGGGUCGCCAGACGGUACCUAAUUAAGAAGCCCCGGCUAACUACGUGCCAGCAGCCGCGGUAAUACGUAGGGGGCAAGCGUUAUCCGGAUUUACUGGGUGUAAAGGGAGCGUAGACGGCUGUGCAAGCCAGAUGUGAAAGCCCGGGGCUCAACCCCGGGACUGCAUUUGGAACUGUGUGGCUGGAGUGUCGGAGAGGCAGGCGGAAUUCCUAGUGUAGUGGUGAAAUGCGUAGAUAUUAGGAGGAACACCAGUGGCGAAGGCGGCUUACUGGACGGUAACUGACGCUGAGGCUCGAAAGCGUGGGAAGCGAACAGGAUUAGAUACCCCAGUA